CCUACGGGAGGCAGCAGUGGGGAAUAUUGGGCAAUGGACGCAAGCCUGACCCAGCAACGCCGCGUGAAGGAAGAAGGCUUUCGGGGUGUAAACUUCUUUUAAGAGGGAAGAACAGGAGGCGGUACCUCUUGCGUAAGCCACGGCUAACUACGUGACAGCAGCCGCAGUAAUACGUAGGUGGCAGGCGUUGUCCGGAUUUACUGGGUGUAAAGGGCGUGCAGCCGGGAAGACAAGUCAGAUGUGAAAUCCCGCGGCUCAACCGCGGAACUGCAUUUGAAACUGUUUUUCUUGAGUACCGGAGAGGUCAUCGGAAUUCCUGGUGUAGCGGUGAAAUGCGUAGAUAUAAGGAAGAACACCAGUGGCGAAGGCGGAUGACUGGACGGCAACUGACGGUGAGGCGCGAAAGCGUGGGGAUCAAACAGGAUUAGAUACCCUAGUAGUC
This 442-nucleotide ribosomal RNA is filed under the name uncultured bacterium. Its description in RNAcentral is "partial 16S ribosomal RNA". It matches the Rfam family "Bacterial small subunit ribosomal RNA", at positions 338 to 795 of the family's 1533-position model. The record is from RNAcentral.